RNAcentral lists this ribosomal RNA (497 nucleotides) under uncultured bacterium. Its description in RNAcentral is "partial 16S ribosomal RNA". It matches the Rfam family "Bacterial small subunit ribosomal RNA", at positions 28 to 507 of the family's 1533-position model. The record is from RNAcentral.
GAUGAACGCUGGCGGCGUGCCUAAUACAUGCAAGUCGAGCGAACGGACGAGAAGCUUGCUUCUCUGAUGUUAGCGGCGGACGGGUGAGUAACACGUGGAUAACCUACCUAUAAGACUGGGAUAACUUCGGGAAACCGUAGCUAAUACCGGAUAAUAUUUUGAACCGCAUGGUUCAAAAGUGAAAGACGGUCUUGCUGUCACUUAUAGAUGGAUCCGCGCUGCAUUAGCUAGUUGGUAAGGUAACGGCUUACCAAGGCAACGAUGCAUAGCCGACCUGAGAGGGUGAUCGGCCACCCUGGAACUGAGACACGGUCCAGACUCCUACGGGAGGCAGCAGUAGGGAAUCUUACGCAAUGGGCGAAAGCCUGACGGAGCAACGCCGCGUGAGUGAUGAAGGUCUUCGGAUCGUAAAACUCUGUUAUUAGGGAAGAACAUAUGUGUAAGUAACUGUGCACAUCUUGACGGUACCUAAUCAGAAAGCAACGGCUAACUACGUG